GCUGAAUGAGAAGGGAGAGAGAGACAUCGAGCCGUUGCCAAGAAACGAGCUGUUCUGACGCGCGCCCAGAUGGGCCCGUCGCCGUGGAGAUCGGGAAGGUGGGGUGACGUUAGAGCCAAGGGAGGAGGGAGGGAGCAGCUCUAACCUUUCGAUCCACCACGUGAUCAUUUGUUAUCAUGGCAGCGGGGGUCGCCCCCUGCCGGAGCCACUGCGGCCCGAGUUAACCCUCCGCGUGCCUGGGUUCGGGCAGGAUUAAACCCGAUCUGUUCCAGAGCCCAGGUGAAGAUUUAGCCUUUUAGACGCCAGAGUCAAACUAGGUCUUAAGUGCUUCCCCGCCACCGCCGUAAGGAACCAUCUUAUCUGAGACCUUGGUUAAUCCCACCGAUGCCAGAGCCUCCUCCGUCAAGUAGAUUUAACCACUUGUGCAUCGCGACACAGGCAGACAAGACAGAGCGCCGGAAUAGGAUGAUAAAUCUGCACGCACUAGAGCCCGGGCAGGAAAUUUCAGCGUUUUGUAGAUGAACGACCUGUAUGCCCGAACCCAGCCGCCUAGUCCAACGCUUCCUUCGCAGACUUCUCUGGGAAUGUGAGGGAUGGAAAGGGGAAGGGAAACCCCUCCAUUUGUUGGUCAUAAGGAGCAAAUUGGCAGUGCUUCAAGAUGAAAUCUGCUUGCAUGGAUACAUUCAAAGUGUGGCCACAGCGGCCCAUGUCCACAGUUUGUUUUCAAAAAGUAAAGUGUUAAAAGUCAAAA
Long non-coding RNA from Hemicordylus capensis (graceful crag lizard), 751 nucleotides. RefSeq lists it as uncharacterized. The transcript is spliced from 2 exons. Lineage: Eukaryota; Metazoa; Chordata; Lepidosauria; Squamata; Cordylidae. The record is from RefSeq and is a predicted model, not a curated record.